Molecule: transfer RNA, 73 nt
Filed under: Gelatoporia subvermispora B
Lineage: Eukaryota; Fungi; Basidiomycota; Agaricomycetes; Polyporales; Gelatoporiaceae
Rfam family: tRNA
About the family: Transfer RNA (tRNA) molecules are approximately 80 nucleotides in length.
Source: Rfam by way of RNAcentral
GGUCUCAUAGCUCAGUGGUUAGAGCAUGCGAUUGCAGAUCGCAGGGCCGCGUGUUCGAAUCACGCUGGGACCU